This is a long non-coding RNA of Macaca mulatta (Rhesus monkey), 1311 nucleotides long. RefSeq lists it as uncharacterized. The record is from RefSeq and is a predicted model, not a curated record. NCBI's taxonomy places the organism in Eukaryota, Metazoa, Chordata, Mammalia, Primates, Cercopithecidae.
GUUGUGGGACCGAGCCUCUGACACCGGGCUGCUGGCUCUUGGCAGCCCGAAGCUGAACUCCAAGCUGACAGUAGCACUGGACUGUGGACGUAGGACUUGCACACCUGAAGAGUUAAGAGCUUGCUCAUGGUAGGGCCUCGAGAGCGCCACGACUACGUGUCCCAGAAAGCCGUGCGCCCGGGUUCUCCUUCCGGCUAGCUUCUCCUGACUUCCUGGCAGCCCAAGGCUGCCCAGACCGGGACGGAAACUCCGAGGCAACUCCUCACUUGUCGGAGAUCCUGCUUGUGCGACCCAUUUCCGCACAUGCGCGGUCCAUGCCGCAGUGCCCACUCGACGCCUAGGUAGCUGCGCUGCCCGUCCGCCAGUGUCUGAUGGCAGGGGCAGAUGGUGGAGACAGGUCGUUUACUCUGGAGGAAGUGAGCUGCCGGGUCAUAGGGACAAUCAAGCAGUCCUGUGGAUGGGUCCAUGUGAAAACACUAACACGGGGCACGAGGAAUACUACGUGGGCCUCUCGGAGAUGGGCAUUGCACGGUGGCUCCAUUGUGAGGCUAGGUGACCCCACCAGUCCCCAUCCAGAAAAGCACAGGGGCGCUCUGAGGGCUCAGGCGGCACUGAGCAGGGACGCAGCAACUCCUUGAAGGGCGAAGGUGAUGCGAAGGACAAGACACAAGAGGAAUGAUCACAGACUUUCACCUGAACCAUGAAACUGGCAUUUCACCUAACACUUUCUCACAUGCCAGGCUACAAACAGAAACACUGUAAGCAAAGCCCAAAGCAGCCCUGUCUGACGGUUUCCAAUGCCGGCCUGGUCUGGUAGAACUAGGUCUAUGUUCUGCAGUUACACUGCUGCUAGUUCAUGUUUCCCCAGCACCUGUGCACCAAAGAGACUAAAAGGAGACAAUUGUUUUGCUUGUCUCAUUCGUGAGAGACCUGAAAAAUGUCCUAUCUGGGUCAAAUUCUGCAGUAGGCAAGUAAAAUGCUCACUAACCUGAGAACCAUUGCUAGUUCCAAGAGCAUCUUUACUGCAUAGUUAAGAUUUGGGCAGUCCCCUUUUCCUGUUGAAGGGGGGCUGCCCCUCCCUUCCCAAGCAUCUAGUUAUAACCAAUGUUGAGAAAAUGUCCAGGGAAUUGCUUUAGACAGACAGAGUAUACGGAACCUUAACCUAGCUGGGCGCAGUGGCACGUGUCUGUCGUCCCAGCUACUCUUGAGGUUGAAGGGGGGGAAUCAGUUGAGCCACGAGUUUGAGAUCAACCUGGGCAACAUAUGAGAGACCCUGUCUCAAAGAAUUUUUUUUUUUUUUUUUUUUUUUUU